AUUGAACGCUGGCGGCAGGCUUAACACAUGCAAGUCGAGCGGGGUGAUGGUGCUUGCACUAUCACUUAGCGGCGGACGGGUGAGUAAUGCUUAGGAAUCUGCCUAUUAGUGGGGGACAACAUCUCGAAAGGGAUACUAAUACCGCAUACGUCCUACGGGAGAAAGCAGGGGAUCACUAGUGACGUUGCGGUAAUAGAGGAGCCUAAGUCGGAUUAGCUAGUUGGUGGGGUAAAGGCCUACCAAGGCGACGAGCUGUAGCGGGUCUGAGAGGAUGAACCGCCACACUGGGACUGAGACACGGCCCAGACUCCUACGGGAGGCAGCAGUUGGGAAUAUUGGACAAUGGGGGGAACCCUGAUCCAGCCAUGCCGCGUGUGUGAAGAAGGCCUUAUGGUUGUAAAGCACUUUAAGCGAGGAGGAGGCUCUUUUGGUUAAUACCCAAGAUGAGUGGACGUUACUCGCAGAAUAAGCACCGGCUAACUCUGUGCCAGCCGCCGCAGUAA
This 503-nucleotide ribosomal RNA is filed under the name uncultured bacterium. RNAcentral describes it as "partial 16S ribosomal RNA". It matches the Rfam family "Bacterial small subunit ribosomal RNA", at positions 30 to 523 of the family's 1533-position model. The record is from RNAcentral.